RNAcentral lists this transfer RNA (71 nucleotides) under Diaphorina citri (Asian citrus psyllid). It matches the Rfam family "tRNA". Rfam says of the family: Transfer RNA (tRNA) molecules are approximately 80 nucleotides in length. Their secondary structure includes four short double-helical elements and three loops (D, anti-codon, and T loops). The record is from Rfam by way of RNAcentral. Lineage: Eukaryota; Metazoa; Arthropoda; Insecta; Hemiptera; Psyllidae.
GCCUAGUUAGCUUAGUUGGUAGUGCGUCUGCCUUGUAAGCUAGGCCGCGGGUUCGAUUCCCGCCCGGGGCG